UUAACUUUCUUGACAAUUGAACUUCUCACCUGAUUAGUCAACAACUGUAUCAACUCAUUUUGAAUUUUUUUGCCAAGAUACGUAUAUUGAAUCUCUCUUGCUUUAGCUCGCCGAAGGUGCUCUUGCAUUACUGGAUCAAAUUCACUAACCAUUUCGACCAUUUGUAAAAAUAGGCCAUUGUUCUCAACAUGUAGCCUCUCA
Molecule: long non-coding RNA, 201 nt
Filed under: Olea europaea (common olive)
Lineage: Eukaryota; Viridiplantae; Streptophyta; Magnoliopsida; Lamiales; Oleaceae
Description: long non-coding RNA (OEUR_LNC013786)
Source: RNAcentral